RNAcentral lists this ribosomal RNA (492 nucleotides) under uncultured bacterium. RNAcentral's name for it is "partial 16S ribosomal RNA". It matches the Rfam family "Bacterial small subunit ribosomal RNA", at positions 29 to 507 of the family's 1533-position model. The record is from RNAcentral.
AGUGAACGCUGGCGGUAGGCCUAACACAUGCAAGUCGAACGGCAGCACAGUAAGAGCUUGCUCUUACGGGUGGCGAGUGGCGGACGGGUGAGGAAUACAUCGGAAUCUACUUUUUCGUGGGGGAUAACGUAGGGAAACUUACGCUAAUACCGCAUACGACCUACGGGUGAAAGCAGGGGAUCUUCGGACCUUGCGCGAUUGAAUGAGCCGAUGUCGGGUUAGCUAGUUGGCGGGGUAAAGGCCCACCAAGGCGACGAUCCGUAGCUGGUCUGAGAGGAUGAUCAGCGACACUGGAACUGAGACACGGUCCAGACUCCUACGGGAGGCAGCAGUGGGGAAUAUUGGACAAAGGGCGCAAGCCUGAUCCAGCCAUACCGCGUGGGUGAAGAAGGCCUUCGGGUUGUAAAGCCCUUUUGUUGGGAAAGAAAAGCAGCAGGUUAAUACCCCGCUGUUCUGACGGUACCCAAAGAAUAAGCACCGGCUAACUUCGUG